AAAACUCCCAUUGCUCAGGCCCCAUCCAAUACUAAUUAAAUCAGAAUCUCUGAGUGUGGAACUCAGGCACCACUAAUUCUAAAAUACCCUGGGUGAUUCCAGGGUGCAGCCAAGUUUCAGAAAAACCGAUAGUGAGGAAAGUCCAGCAGUGCCCAUGCCUAGUGGUGGUGAGCAGCCACCUGCAUAUUAUAGAUCUCAAGGACAUAAAGAUGGUCAAUCUUAGGUCUUCAAACAUGGUCCAGACCUUUGGAUUGUGUUCCAUAUGCAAGGAUGAUACAGUAGAGUCAAUUUUUUUUUAGUAUCAGGAGACCUGCAACAGGAAAUCUAAAUGGCCAGCAAUGUGGACCAGCAUAUGUGGAACUGAGAUACUUGAUGGAGGAACACCUUCCUGAAGAGAGAGAUUAGAGACACCUG
This 414-nucleotide long non-coding RNA is filed under the name Equus caballus (horse). RNAcentral's name for it is "lncRNA (ENSECAG00000051776.1)". Lineage: Eukaryota; Metazoa; Chordata; Mammalia; Perissodactyla; Equidae. The record is from RNAcentral.